This 505-nucleotide ribosomal RNA is filed under the name uncultured bacterium. RNAcentral describes it as "partial 16S ribosomal RNA". It matches the Rfam family "Bacterial small subunit ribosomal RNA", at positions 28 to 507 of the family's 1533-position model. The record is from RNAcentral.
GACGAACGCUGGCGGCGUGCCUAAUACAUGCAAGUAGAACGCACAGUUUAUACCGUAGCUUGCUACACCAUAGACUGUGAGUUGCGAACGGGUGAGUAACGCGUAGGUAACCUGCCUGGUAGCGGGGGAUAACUAUUGGAAACGAUAGCUAAUACCGCAUAAUAUUGAUUAUUGCAUGAUAAUUAAUUGAAAGGUGCAAUUGCACCACUACCAGAUGGACCUGCGUUGUAUUAGCUAGUAGGUGAGGUAACGGCUCACCUAGGCGACGAUACAUAGCCGACCUGAGAGGGUGAUCGGCCACACUGGGACUGAGACACGGCCCAGACUCCUACGGGAGGCAGCAGUAGGGAAUCUUCGGCAAUGGACGAAAGUCUGACCGAGCAACGCCGCGUGAGUGAAGAAGGUUUUCGGAUCGUAAAGCUCUGUUGUAAGAGAAGAACGGGUGUGGGAGUGGAAAGUUCACACUGUGACGGUAUCUUACCAGAAAGGGACGGCUAACUACGUG